GUUUUUGACUUUUCAAUUAAGUUUGAAGGACAUGCUCUAUUUCUCUACAAACUAGUGGAAGAUAUCUCCAGCGGCAGUACUUUAACUGUGAGCAAUUAUUUCCUUCAUGUUGUUCCCACCGGAAACUGUCUGCUCCGUAUGUCAUGUAGAACAAAUGUGAGAAGUUUGACAAUGAUGACUUCUUUGGAUCAAAUUGAGUUUUUAGGAAUCACAUUCUUACUUAAUAGCUGCCCUGAAUUAGAGAAGCUCACUAUCGAAUUGGGUCUCCCCAAAAAAUAUUUGGAUUAUGAGUUACCUGACAACUUUAACCUCGAGAUGUUUUGGACUGAUCACGCAAGGGCUUAUAAUUGCAUGGUAUAUACUCUUAGAGAGGUGGAGAUUAUGGGCUUCAAAG
Molecule: long non-coding RNA, 394 nt
Organism: Lotus japonicus
Lineage: Eukaryota; Viridiplantae; Streptophyta; Magnoliopsida; Fabales; Fabaceae
Exons: 3
Source: RefSeq, a predicted model, not a curated record